GUGCUCACUUCACAGCACAUACUCAAAUUGGAACAAUACAGAGAAGCUGAGUGUAGCCCCUCUGCAAGAAUAAGAUGCAAAUUUGCAAAAUGUAAAACAUAAAU
RNAcentral lists this small nuclear RNA (104 nucleotides) under Myotis brandtii (Brandt's bat). The record is from RNAcentral. Lineage: Eukaryota; Metazoa; Chordata; Mammalia; Chiroptera; Vespertilionidae.